This is a long non-coding RNA of Camelus dromedarius (Arabian camel), 503 nucleotides long. RefSeq lists it as uncharacterized. The record is from RefSeq and is a predicted model, not a curated record. Lineage: Eukaryota; Metazoa; Chordata; Mammalia; Artiodactyla; Camelidae. The transcript has 3 exons.
UUUCUGAACAUAACAUCUGAUGGAGCCAGGACCUGCACAGAGCUCCCCUCUCUGCCUUUGAAUGGGCAUCUCUUCCUCCAGCCUUCAGAUUUUGAACACUUCCUUUCCAUAGCCAAACCUCAACCCCGCUUUCAACUGGAAAACAAAACAAACACACAAACAAAAGCCCUGACUGUCCUCGACAAACAAGCUAAGGUGCAGGAGGUGUUCAGCUCUCUCAGGUGGCAGAGAGCAGAGAGACUCCCAGGUUACUACAAGAUACUGAAUAUCGUUCCCUGUGUUAUACAGUAGAAACUUGUUCAUCUACAGAAAACUCUUUAAUGUAUCCUUUGCUUAUAUGAAAUUAAGGCAGAGUCUGAACUGAGAGGCUGGUCAAAGAGAUGUUAUAUUGUUGAGCGCAAUGAAGAGAAAGGAGAGUGACAUCUUCUGAUACCAACAUCAAACUGGGAUGAGCUGUUUGUGGAGCCCCACGUGCACUGGCCGCUCCUUCCAACUUAAACCUG